This is a non-coding RNA of Cinara cedri, 299 nucleotides long. The record is from the annotation of a GenBank genome assembly. NCBI's taxonomy places the organism in Eukaryota, Metazoa, Arthropoda, Insecta, Hemiptera, Aphididae.
GUCCGGACAUGUCGUGAACAUUUGCUUUACGAAUUUUUCUGUUUGUCCAAAAGAAAAAUUACGUCAGCUAUGCAUUUGUUUCGUACCGAAUUUAUAGUAUAUAGAUAAUAGAAUUCUGAGCGUAUUGGUCUGACUGUGAUGUGUUUACGUAGUUUACCGUCUGUCGACAACUUUACUACUAUAGGGAUCUUACUCCUAUCAUCGAAUUCAGGGGUAUGGUAGUGGAUUUUGACUUGUCGGGGUUACACAUAAUUGUUUUGGUUUUCUUUCAAACGGAGAAAAAGCCGUCGGAAAAAAGA